UGCGUAGGCGGGUCUUUAAGUCAGGGGUGAAAUCCUGGAGCUCAACUCCAGAACUGCCUUUGAUACUGAAGAUCUUGAGUUCGGGAGAGGUGAGUGGAACUGCGAGUGUAGAGGUGAAAUUCGUAGAUAUUCGCAAGAACACCAGUGGCGAAGGCGGCUCACUGGCCCGAUACUGACGCUGAGGACAAGCUGGGGAGCAAAC
Molecule: ribosomal RNA, 202 nt
Filed under: uncultured bacterium
Lineage: Bacteria
Description: partial 16S ribosomal RNA
Rfam family: Bacterial small subunit ribosomal RNA
Source: RNAcentral